ACUCAUUCCAACAAAAAAUAUAUGAGAACAAAACCAUGUCCUUAUUUCACAGGUUUUUGAAAAAAUUGACAAGUUGAUGUCCCAUGUAACUAGGAUAUUCUUAUCAAAUACUUCCUUUCAUUCAACCAUGUGAUAAUUUUUGGAGAACUCAUUAUGUGCCAGGGGUUAGCAACCGUGCCUAUUCAUAUAGAUAUGCUGCCUUCAAGGAACCUACAGGCUGUCAACAAGGAGGCAAUUUCAGGACACUGUGGGAACUUCUAGGAUCAAGGAAUUCAUUUCCACAAGACUGCAACUGAUACUAUUUGGCCACCAGCAAAAGAACAACCCUACUGGGUGGAAUUUUCCCUCAAGAUAUUUUAGAGGAUGCCUUGCUUUCAAACGCUGGCCAAUGACCUAAUGAGAAAAGAGGAAAGUUUGCUAUUUUUCAAUACAAGAGCCACAGAAGCAUCGGAGCACUGGCCUUAUUUCAGGUUGCUGGAACAGAAUGCCGUGAUCGGAUCUGGUGAGACUCUUUCUGGUUUGCAGCUGGUGGUCUUCUCCUUAUUAAGACCUCACAGAGGUGGGGGGAAUCUAGUGUCCCUUCCUUUUAUAAAAGCGUUACUCCCAUCACGAGGGCCCCACUCUCAGGACCUAAUCUAA
RNAcentral lists this long non-coding RNA (639 nucleotides) under Felis catus (domestic cat). RNAcentral describes it as "lncRNA (ENSFCAG00000049010.1)". Lineage: Eukaryota; Metazoa; Chordata; Mammalia; Carnivora; Felidae. The record is from RNAcentral.